Molecule: long non-coding RNA, 317 nt
Organism: Amphibalanus amphitrite
Lineage: Eukaryota; Metazoa; Arthropoda; Thecostraca; Balanomorpha; Balanidae
Exons: 3
Source: RefSeq, a predicted model, not a curated record
AAAGGAGGAUUCAGCUCUGUCGGUGAUAUCAAGUACAAAAAGGAGCAAGCCUUGGGAUUGGGAGGCGGUGCGAGCGGUGUAUAUCAGGGACGUUGGAAUAAGAAAGAUGUGGCGGUAAAACGCGUUCAGUACCGCACAGAAGAGGAACAACGGCGAAUUGAAAAGGAAAUCAACUGCCUCAAAAAACUUGAAGAUAACGCGAAUGUCAUCAGGUACUAUCACGUGGAAAUGUCACCACAUUUCUACUAUAUCGCAAUGGAGCUGGCAGUCGGUACAGUGGAAGACUACGUGAAGAAAACGAAGCAUUUCUCAGAUGU